Molecule: ribosomal RNA, 322 nt
Filed under: Thelephoraceae sp. 'Taylor #2'
Lineage: Eukaryota; Fungi; Basidiomycota; Agaricomycetes; Thelephorales; Thelephoraceae
Description: LSU rRNA
Rfam family: Bacterial large subunit ribosomal RNA
Source: RNAcentral
GGACCACUUAAAAUAUNUAUGGUGGUGUCACAAAAUCGGAGGCCACGACUGUUUACUAAAAACACAAUUCAGAGCAAUGAUGAAAAUCAUAGUAUUCUGGAUGAAAUUUGCCCGAUGCCAUUAACAUAAAAGAGGUAAUGGAUUACUGUCACUAAUUGAAAGUCUGGUUAAUAGCGGUCUUAACUAUGAGGAUCCUAAGGUAGCAAAAUCAGUUGGCCAUUAAACUGUGGUCUGGUAUCAAUAGUGUAACGAUGGUCUCACUGUCUCUACAACUUGCUCAGUGAAGUUGAAUUCAUCCGUGCAGAUGCGGACUGCCUCCAUU